This 449-nucleotide ribosomal RNA is filed under the name uncultured organism. RNAcentral describes it as "partial 16S ribosomal RNA". It matches the Rfam family "Bacterial small subunit ribosomal RNA", at positions 332 to 797 of the family's 1533-position model. The record is from RNAcentral.
UACACUCCUGCGGGAGGCAGCAGUGGGGAAUAUUGGCCAAUGGGCGCAAGCCUGAUCCAGCCAUGCCGCGUGAGUGAUGAAGGCCCUAGGGUUGUAAAGCUCUUUCACCGGUGAAGAUAAUGACGGUAACCGGAGAAGAAGCCCCGGCUAACUUCGUGCCAGCAGCCGCGGUAAUACGAAGGGGGCUAGCGUUGUUCGGAUUUACUGGGCGUAAAGCGCACGUAGGCGGACUAUUAAGUCAGGGGUGAAAUCCCGGGGCUCAACCCCGGAACUGCCUUUGAUACUGGUAGUCUUGAGUUCGAGAGAGGUGAGUGGAAUUCCGAGUGUAGAGGUGAAAUUCGUAGAUAUUCGGAGGAACACCAGUGGCGAAGGCGGCUCACUGGCUCGAUACUGACGCUGAGGUGCGAAAGCGUGGGGAGCAAACAGGAUUAGAAACCCCUGUAGUCCCA